GCUUAGGCAGUCUGUUAUUGGCUGGGCUUAGUUAGUGGUGGGAAGUAGAAGAUACCAGACUUGGGAAAGGAACAGCAACUAACCAAGGAGUAGAAAGAGCCAAGAAAUCCCGGAGUAUUUAUCUCCCCCGCCUUGACUUGGCCAAGAACUUCUCUACACAGUGGACCCCUCUGCCCUGUUAAGUUCCCUUGGCUUUCUAAAAAUCUGCCCUCAUUUUCUUCUCCAGUCUGUAUUGCACUAGCCCAUCCACAAGCCUGGCUCAUCUGUUUUUCCCACUCCUGUGCCCAUCUUGCCAAACGCAGGAUGAAAAUCUCCAGUUGCCAUUAAAGGUGGUCAUAAAUGGGCUGUUGAUGUUGCAAAGCAUUGCAGUUCCUUGGACUUAGUGCCCUUAUUCUCCAGCUGCCGCUGCAGUCCUCAACUCUGUUUUUCAGAGGACAGAGAUGUAGAACAUAAACUUGUUCUUGCUUGUCCAAAUGUGUCGGGUCAUGUCAGGCUUGCUUACCAGUCUCAGGAAGAUGUGCCCCUGCUUCAUGGGGCCUGCUGUUACACACCUGUUCCUCAAUCCAGUCCCUCCAGUCUCAGUGUCAAUUAUCC
This 594-nucleotide long non-coding RNA is filed under the name Homo sapiens (human). RNAcentral's name for it is "HSALNT0283565". Lineage: Eukaryota; Metazoa; Chordata; Mammalia; Primates; Hominidae. The record is from RNAcentral.